Molecule: ribosomal RNA, 504 nt
Filed under: uncultured bacterium
Lineage: Bacteria
Description: partial 16S ribosomal RNA
Rfam family: Bacterial small subunit ribosomal RNA
Source: RNAcentral
AUUGAACGCUGGCGGCAGGCCUAACACAUGCAAGUCGAACGGUAGCACAGAGAGCUUGCUCUCGGGUGACGAGUGGCGGACGGGUGAGUAAUGUCUGGGAAACUGCCCGAUGGAGGGGGAUAACUACUGGAAACGGUAGCUAGUACCGCAUAACGUCGCAAGACCAAAGUGGGGGACCUUCGGGCCUCACACCAUCGGAUGUGCCCAGAUGGGAUUAGCUAGUAGGUGGGGUAAUGGCUCACCUAGGCGACGAUCCCUAGCUGGUCUGAGAGGAUGACCAGCCACCCUGGAACUGAGACACGGUCCAGACUCCUACGGGAGGCAGCAGUGGGGAAUAUUGCACAAUGGGCGCAAGCCUGAUGCAGCCAUGCCGCGUGUAUGAAGAAGGCCUUCGGGUUGUAAAGUACUUUCAGCGGGGAGGAAGGCGGUGAAGUUAAUAACUUCACCGAUUGACGUUACCCGCAGAAGAAGCACCGGCUAACUCCGUGCCAGCCGCCGCCGUAA